Molecule: long non-coding RNA, 534 nt
Organism: Syzygium oleosum
Lineage: Eukaryota; Viridiplantae; Streptophyta; Magnoliopsida; Myrtales; Myrtaceae
Exons: 2
Source: RefSeq, a predicted model, not a curated record
CUUCGAGUUUGGAGCAGACGGGCUGAACGGUUACGACUCGGACCGAACAUUUCGUGAUAAAUGUGGGACCGUCGGGUAAUACCCACACGAGAUAAUUGCGGUAACGCCCAAACCAAAAGAGGGAAUCCGAGUCAAAUACGAGAACUCUCCUUUGGAGAUUGAAGCAUACGAAGUCAACAUAUCAGAAGGGAACUGCAAUGGAAAACUGCAAGCAAAUGUCCAGUGCGUCUUCAAUGGAUCAAAGGGCGAAAGAGAUACCAGAACCAGCGCUAGGGCAUUAAGCCCGCUUUGCUUGUAUUCCUACGGGGCUUGAGCAUUCACCCUACACAACUCAUUAUUAUGGACCGAUUAGAAGUGAUCAUGAGUCUGCCGAACCUCUCGAGCUGGUCGAACUAGCCCGAAGGGUGCGAUCGUGUGGGUUUGGAUACAUGAUUUCCUUGUCGGGUCCGGUCCUUCCUCCUUACUCGGCGUAAGCCACAUCGAUAUGUAGAAAUUUUGGAAUAUUUCCUUGUUAUGGAUUAUGUCUUUCUCAAA